Molecule: long non-coding RNA, 390 nt
Filed under: Brachypodium distachyon (stiff brome)
Lineage: Eukaryota; Viridiplantae; Streptophyta; Magnoliopsida; Poales; Poaceae
Description: long non-coding RNA (BDIS_LNC000656)
Source: RNAcentral
AACUCUUCAUCUUCUUCCCCGAGUCCGGAUUCCUCGAUUCGUUCAUGUCAAGUGAGAUUUGGGUAUGAACUUGUUCAAGUUCUGUAAAACUUAUGCUCUUCGGUUAGCUCAGUUCUUGCGUCGAUUGUUAGCAGACCGUUGAUCAUUAUGUGCUCUAGUUUUCACCUUUGUGUGGAGUGAAUGUUUCUCUAUAAUUUCUCUGUAGACAGUAGCCGUAGAUGGUUUAUCUUAAGCACUGCAUCGUCAUCGCAAAAUUGUAUUAUAAGCAGCCUCUCUGCCGUAUCUCUGCCGCGGCAGGAAGUUGCGGCACCAUUCUUUGUGGGUAGCCUUAUUCGCAGUAGUUCUUCUUGUUGUCCGUAGCAUCAUUUUAGUUGAUUAUUUCUGUAGUUU